This 253-nucleotide ribosomal RNA is filed under the name uncultured bacterium. RNAcentral's name for it is "partial 16S ribosomal RNA". It matches the Rfam family "Bacterial small subunit ribosomal RNA", at positions 524 to 776 of the family's 1533-position model. The record is from RNAcentral.
UACGGAGGGGGCUAGCGUUGUUCGGAAUUACUGGGCGUAAAGCGCGCGUAGGCGGCUUUGCAAGUCGGGGGCGAAAGCCCGAGGCUCAACCUCGGAACUGCCUUCGAUACUGCAAAUCUCGAGUCCGAGAGAGGUGAGUGGAAUUCCUAGUGUAGAGGUGAAAUUCGUAGAUAUUAGGAAGAACACCAGUGGCGAAGGCGGCUCACUGGCUCGGUACUGACGCUGAGGCGCGAAAGCGUGGGGAGCAAACAGG